RNAcentral lists this ribosomal RNA (253 nucleotides) under uncultured bacterium. RNAcentral's name for it is "partial 16S ribosomal RNA". It matches the Rfam family "Bacterial small subunit ribosomal RNA", at positions 524 to 776 of the family's 1533-position model. The record is from RNAcentral.
UACGGAGAGUGCAAACGUUGUUCGGAUUCACUGGGCGUAAAGGGCACGUAGGCGGCCAGGCAAAUCGAUCGUGGAAUACCAACGCUUACCGUUGGUGCGGCGGUCGAAAAUACCUGGAUCGAGGGCGUGAGGGGUCACUGGAACUUCUGGUGGAGCGGUGAAAUGCGUAGAUAUCAGAAGGAACGCCGGAGGCGAAAGCGAGUGACUGGCGCGUUCCUGACGCUGAGGUGCGAAAGCUGGGGGAGCAAACAGG